This 460-nucleotide ribosomal RNA is filed under the name uncultured bacterium. RNAcentral describes it as "partial 16S ribosomal RNA". It matches the Rfam family "Bacterial small subunit ribosomal RNA", at positions 338 to 795 of the family's 1533-position model. The record is from RNAcentral.
CCUACGGGGGGCAGCAGUGAGGAAUAUUGGUCAAUGGGCGGAAGCCUGAACCAGCCAAGUCGCGUGAGGGAUUAAGGCCCUGCGGGUGGUAAACCUCGUUUGCCGGGGAGCAGUGGUCCGGACGCGUCCGGACCGGGAGAGUACCCGGAGACAAAGCAACGGCUAACUCCGUGCCAGCCGCCGCCGUAAUACGGAGGAUGCGAGCGUUAUCCGAAUUUAUUGGGUUUAAAGGAUGCGUAGGCGGGCAUUUAAGCCGGCGGUAAAAUGUCGGGGCUAAACCCCGGCCUGCCGUCGCAACUGGGUGCCUUGAGUGGGUGAGAGGAAUGUGGAAUGCGAGGUGUAGGGGUGAAAUGCAUAGAUAUCACGAAGAACACCGAUUGCGAAGGCAGCAUACCGGCGCACUACUGACGCUGAGGCACGAAAGUGUGGGUAGCGAACAGGAUUAGAUACCCCAGUAGUC